This 1113-nucleotide long non-coding RNA is filed under the name Nicotiana benthamiana. Its description in RNAcentral is "long non-coding RNA (NBEN_LNC040202)". The record is from RNAcentral. Lineage: Eukaryota; Viridiplantae; Streptophyta; Magnoliopsida; Solanales; Solanaceae.
CGGAAGACUUUUAAGUGCAUAAAUAUCUGAAAACAGAAAAUACCAAAACUCAACAUAUGUUUCUACCCAGUAUCUAGUGUCACUGCUCAUGGACUACUAUGAAUUACUAGAACAAAAGUCUGAAAGAAAUAUACAAAAUGUUUGUCUCGAUACAAAGUAGAACAAACUGAAAUAAACAUAAGACAAAUUCCGGGCCCGCGGACGCAAGCAAGGCUAUCUCGAAGUCUUUGGACUGAAGAUCAGCUCCCAACUCUACUGCUGCGGUGGACCGUAAGCUGCUCCCUGAUCUGUGCACAAAAAGACACAGAAGUGUAGCAUCAGCACAACCGACCCCAUGUGCUGGUAAGUGCCUGACCUAACUCCGGCGAGGUAGUGACGAGGCUAGACAGGACCUACCACAAACACCUGUGCAAGAAUACAUAUAUACAAGGCAAGUAUAUAUCAAAUUUAAACAGCAAAAAGGGGGAAACAUGUGUGGGAGACGAUAGUACAAGUAAAAAAAAACAGCUAAUAAGAAUCGAAACUGAGCAAUUAACAACUAAUAAGAAACACCGAAUAGUUCAACAUAGGCACAAUAUACUUAUUUCAUACUCCGUUGCGGCAUGCAACCGAUCCUCAACAUUUAAUACCGUUGCGGUGUGCAACCCGAUCCUCGAUAAUUAAUACUGUUGCGGCGUGCAACCCGAUCCUCAAUAGGUAUAGUACCAUUGCGGCGUGCAACCCGAUCCUCAAUAAAAUAUAAUUAACACACCAAAUAUCCCGGCAAGGGAGAAUUCAAUAUAUACUUAAAUCCCGGCAAGGGAAAAGAUCAUAAAAUCUCACUUUUAAACAUUUAGCCAUCAACCGAUUCUAAGUCGAGCCAACACUCCAAAAUAUUCAAGUAUCACAAUUACUUCAUUAACUUUCCUCAACAAAUAGAAAUCGUCUCUAGAGCAUAGAUUUUUCAACACAAUCAUGAAGUUCAUAUCAUAUUGUUCGAAUUAACAAUUUAAGACACACGGUCAUGAUAGACUCGGGUGCAUAGAUACCCGUCACUAUACCUAUACACCGACUCCACAAUUAGCACGUAGCAAAUAAUAUCCUAAUCCUAUUCCCUUAAGCUAAAGUUAGAUC